Molecule: microRNA precursor, 104 nt
Filed under: Marmota monax (woodchuck)
Lineage: Eukaryota; Metazoa; Chordata; Mammalia; Rodentia; Sciuridae
Source: RNAcentral
AAUGUAGUUGCUGGGUCAUAUGGUAAGAAUAGGUUUAAUUUUACAAGAAACUGCCGAACUGUCUUCCAAAGUGGCUGCCGCAUUUUGCAUUUCCCCGCAGUGAC